This is a non-coding RNA of Myotis brandtii (Brandt's bat), 75 nucleotides long. The record is from Rfam. Lineage: Eukaryota; Metazoa; Chordata; Mammalia; Chiroptera; Vespertilionidae.
GGCAGUUCUUGGUUGAUGCACCCCAGAAUUGGGCUCCCUCCUCUCUGGUUCCAGGUGUGUCACCUGAGAACCGUC